Syngnathoides biaculeatus (alligator pipefish) is the source of this 485-nucleotide long non-coding RNA. RefSeq lists it as uncharacterized. The record is from RefSeq and is a predicted model, not a curated record. The transcript has 3 exons. Lineage: Eukaryota; Metazoa; Chordata; Actinopteri; Syngnathiformes; Syngnathidae.
UGAUGAUCUGGCAGAAAAUCUCGUCCUUCAGGGGCUCGGCCUUCAGCGCGCACUCGAACAUCUGGUCCGUCAACUCGUUGACUGAGCGAGUGCGCUUGGACGGGUAGUCGCCCAUGUACUUCAUCACAGGAACAUGAUGAAAGGAUAUCGAUGAAGGCCAUACAGGCCUCCUGAGCAAGCUCCUCGUGGUGGACCACCUUCUUCAGCAGGGGCUGUUUGAGAGGCUCCCUGGUGCAGCUCCACAGCUUAUCCUUGCCUCGGUUCUUUGUGACCAUCACCCUGCUCAGGGUGUGCUUGGGUGGAGGCCUGCACCAAGAACACCGAUUACAGAUGUAUAAGGUCACAGAAAUGCUGGCACCUAUCCCGGCCAACUUUGAGCGAAAGGUGGACGACACCCUGAACUGGUCGUCAGUCACUCACAGGGCACUAUCGACAAAGUCACUGGGUGGGAACUGAACCCACGCUGCCUGCCUGCACCAAAGUCA